Molecule: long non-coding RNA, 383 nt
Organism: Harpegnathos saltator (Jerdon's jumping ant)
Lineage: Eukaryota; Metazoa; Arthropoda; Insecta; Hymenoptera; Formicidae
Exons: 3
Source: RefSeq, a predicted model, not a curated record
AGCCAUUGUGGUUUAGGAACACUAUUGGUUUUCACCUCGCUCACCACUGCUCACCACCUCAUCGUUUUAAUCAGAGAUUUUAUGCCUUUUGAUAACUGCAGAGAUAUUCGUCAUUAAGAUCCCAGCACUUUUACUAGGCAGAAGAUUCACAAAAGCACAUCGAUCAGCGAAAUUGAAGCUUUCAUUCAAGAAUGGCUACGACGAGCGAGAGACAGAAUAAGAGCCCUACUAAAAAAAUAAAUGGGAAUAUAUUAAGCAAUUUAAUGUAAAAGAUGGAGUUAUUUUAUUUUUUGUUCACAAAACUCUAAUUUUUUUUAAUUUACAAUUAUAACGUAUGCAUUUAUUUUUAUCAGAUGUUAAUUACAUGUGUAUACGAAUACAAA